UACGGGGGGUGCGAGCGUUGUCCGGAAUCACUGGGCGUAAAGGGCGCGUAGGUGGCCUGAUAAGGGUGUGGUGAAAGUCCGGGGCUUAACCCCGGAUCUGCCGUGCCGACUGUUAGGCUAGAGUGCUGUAGGGGCAGGCGGAAUUCCGGGUGUAGCGGUGGAAUGCGUAGAGAUCCGGAGGAAGACCGGUGGCGAAGGCGGCCUGCUGGGCAGAUACUGACACUGAGGCGCGACAGCGUGGGGAGCAAACAGG
This 253-nucleotide ribosomal RNA is filed under the name uncultured bacterium. Its description in RNAcentral is "partial 16S ribosomal RNA". It matches the Rfam family "Bacterial small subunit ribosomal RNA", at positions 524 to 776 of the family's 1533-position model. The record is from RNAcentral. RNAcentral also lists the same sequence under 1 other name.